CUCAGGAUGAACGCUAGCGACAGGCUUAACACAUGCAAGUCGAGGGGCGGCAUAAAAGUAGCAAUACUUGGUGGCGACCGGCGCACGGGUGAGUAACGCGUAUGCAACCUACCUAUCAGAGGGGAAUAACCCGGCGAAAGUCGGACUAAUACCGCAUAAAACAGGGGCACCGCAUGGUGAUAUUUGUUAAAGAAAUUCGCUGAUAGAUGGGCAUGCGUUCCAUUAGGUAGUUGGUGAGGUAACGGCUCACCAAGCCGACGAUGGAUAGGGGAACUGAGAGGUUGGACCCCCACACUGGUACUGAGACACGGACCAGACUCCUACGGGAGGCAGCAGUGAGGAAUAUUGGUCAAUGGGCGGGAGCCUGAACCAGCCAAGUCGCCGUGAAGGAAGAAGGAUCUAUGGUUCGUAAACUUCUUUUGCAGGGGAAUAAAGUGCAGGACGUGUCCUGUUUUGUAUGUACCCUGAGAAUAAGGAUCGGCUAACUCCGUGCCAGCCGCGGC
This 503-nucleotide ribosomal RNA is filed under the name uncultured bacterium. Its description in RNAcentral is "bacterial SSU rRNA". It matches the Rfam family "Bacterial small subunit ribosomal RNA", at positions 23 to 518 of the family's 1533-position model. The record is from RNAcentral.